RNAcentral lists this ribosomal RNA (630 nucleotides) under Amanita flavipes. RNAcentral's name for it is "LSU rRNA". It matches the Rfam family "Eukaryotic large subunit ribosomal RNA", at positions 43 to 657 of the family's 3401-position model. The record is from RNAcentral. Lineage: Eukaryota; Fungi; Basidiomycota; Agaricomycetes; Agaricales; Amanitaceae.
UCAAUAAGCGGAGGAAAAGAAACUAACAAGGAUUCCCUUAGUAACUGCGAGUGAAGAGGGAAAAGCUCAAAUUUAAAAUCUGGCAGUGUUUCACUGUCCGAGUUGUAACCUAGAGAAGUGUAACCUGUGCUGGACCGUGUAUAAGUCUCCUGGAAUGGAGCAUCAUAGAGGGUGAGAAUCCCGUCUUUGACAUGGACUACCAGUGCAUUGUGGUUGCGCUCUCAACGAGUCGAGUUGUUUGGGAAUGCAGCUCUAAAUGGGUGGUAAAUUCCAUCUAAAGCUAAAUAUUGGCGAGAGACCGAUAGCGAACAAGUACCGUGAGGGAAAGAUGAAAAGAACUUUGGAAAGAGAGUUAAACAGUAUGUGAAAUUGUUGAAAGGGAAACGUUUGAAGUCAGUCGCGUUGGUUGGGGAUCAGCCUGACAUUGUUGGGUGUACUUCCUGGUUGACGGGCCAACAUCAGUUUUGACUGCCAGAAAAAGGCCAAAGGAAUGUGGCACCUUUGGGUGUGUUAUAGCCCUUGGUCGUAUAUGGUGGUUGGGACUGAGGAAAGCAGCGUGCCGAAAGGCCGGGUUUCGACCACGUUCACGCUGAGGAUGUUGGCAUAAUGGCUUUAAGCGACCCGUCUUGA